This 857-nucleotide ribosomal RNA is filed under the name uncultured bacterium. RNAcentral's name for it is "SSU rRNA". It matches the Rfam family "Bacterial small subunit ribosomal RNA", at positions 524 to 1381 of the family's 1533-position model. The record is from RNAcentral.
UACGGGAGUGGCAAGCGUUAUCCGGAAUUAUUGGGCGUAAAGCGUCCGCAGGCGGCCUUGUAGGUCUGUUGUUAAAGCGUGGAGCUUAACUCCAUUUAAGCAAUGGAAACUGCAAGGCUUGAGUGUGGUAGGGGCAGAGGGAAUUCCCGGUGUAGCGGUGAAAUGCGUAGAUAUCGGGAAGAACGCCAGUGGCGAAGGCGCUCUGCUGGGCCAUAACUGACGCUCAUGGACGAAAGCCAGGGGAGCGAAAGGGAUUAGAUACCCCUGUAGUCCUGGCCGUAAACGAUGAACACUAGGUGUCGGGGGAAUCGACCCCCUCGGUGUCGUAGCCAACGCGUUAAGUGUUCCGCCUGGGGAGUACGCACGCAAGUGUGAAACUCAAAGGAAUUGACGGGGGCCCGCACAAGCGGUGGAGUAUGUGGUUUAAUUCGAUGCAACGCGAAGAACCUUACCAGGGUUUGACAUCCUGCGAAUCCCUUGGAAACGAGGGAGUGCCUUCGGGAGCGCUGUGACAGGUGGUGCAUGGCUGUCGUCAGCUCGUGUCGUGAGAUGUUGGGUUAAGUCCCGCAACGAGCGCAACCCACGUCGUUAGUUGCCAGCAUUUAGUUGGGCACUCUAGCGAGACCGCCGGUGAUAAACCGGAGGAAGGUGUGGAUGACGUCAAGUCAUCAUGCCCCUUACAUCCUGGGCUACACACGUACUACAAUGCUACGGACAAAGGGCAGCAAACUCGCGAGAGCUAGCAAAUCCCAUAAACCGUGGCUCAGUUCAGAUCGUAGGCUGCAACUCGCCUACGUGAAGGAGGAAUCGCUAGUAAUCGCAGGUCAGCAUACUGCGGUGAAUACGUUCCCGGGCCU